Molecule: ribosomal RNA, 567 nt
Filed under: uncultured bacterium
Lineage: Bacteria
Description: bacterial SSU rRNA
Rfam family: Bacterial small subunit ribosomal RNA
Source: RNAcentral
GGGCCCGCACAAGCGGUGGAGCAUGUGGUUUAAUUCGACGCAACGCGAAGAACCUUACCUGGGCUCGAACGGCUGCUGAACGGUGGUAGAAACAUCAUCCUUCCCGCAAGGGACAGUAGUCGAGGUGCUGCAUGGCUGUCGUCAGCUCGUGUCGUGAGAUGUUGGGUUAAGUCCCGCAACGAGCGCAACCCUUGUCCUGUGUUGCUAAUCGAAAGAUGCACUCUCAGGAGACCGCCAGCGAUAAGCUGGAGGAAGGUGGGGAUGACGUCAAGUCAUCAUGGCCUUUAUGUCCAGGGCUACACACGUGCUACAAUGGACGGUACAAUGCGCUGCAAACUCGCGAGAGGGAGCCAAUCGCAAAAAACCGUUCUCAGUUCGGAUUGCAGGCUGCAACUCGCCUGCAUGAAGCUGGAAUCGCUAGUAAUGGCAUAUCAGAACGAUGCCGUGAAUACGUUCCCGGGCCUUGUACACACCGCCCGUCACAUCACGAAAGUGGAUUGUACUAGAAGCCUGUCCGCUAACCCGCAAGGGAGGCAGCGGUCCAAGGUAUGAUUCAUGAUUGGGGUG